Non-coding RNA from Dictyocaulus viviparus (bovine lungworm), 73 nucleotides. NCBI's taxonomy places the organism in Eukaryota, Metazoa, Nematoda, Chromadorea, Rhabditida, Metastrongylidae. The record is from Rfam.
GAAUCGGUAGUAUAAUGCAUCAGCACGAUAGACCGGAUAUCUGUAAGUGCGAGUUCGAGUCUCGCCUGAUGUU